RNAcentral lists this ribosomal RNA (495 nucleotides) under Cacopsylla maculatili. RNAcentral describes it as "partial 16S ribosomal RNA". The record is from RNAcentral. Lineage: Eukaryota; Metazoa; Arthropoda; Insecta; Hemiptera; Psyllidae.
GUGUUUUUCAAAAACAUUUCUGAGGGGAAAAUGUUUUUGGUUUACCUGCUCAUGCUUAGGUAAUAGCUGCAGUAUUUUGACUGUACAAAGGUAGCAUAAUCAUUAGUCUUUUGAUUGGAGGCUUGUAUGAAUGGUUGAACAGGAUAUUAUCUUUUUUAACUAUAUGAUAUUUUAAUUUAUAGUUUAUGUAAAAAUGCAUAGUUAUUUAAAGGGGACGAUAAGACCCUAUAGAAUUUAAAAAUGAUUAUGGAAAAUUUUUAUUUUUUUGUUGGGGUGACAGUAAAUAAACUUUUACAUAAUUUUCAUUGAUGAAUGAUUAUAUGAUCCUGAUGUUUUAGAUAAGUAAAUAAAAUUACCUUAGGGAUAACAGCAUAAUUUUUUUUAAAAGAUCUUAUUAAUAAAAAGGAUUAUGACCUCGAUGUUGAAUUAAAAUAAAAUUUUGGUGUAGAAGCUUAAUUUUUUAGUCUGUUCGACUUUAAAUUUUACAUGAUCUAG